Molecule: ribosomal RNA, 482 nt
Filed under: uncultured Acetivibrio sp.
Lineage: Bacteria; Bacillati; Bacillota; Clostridia; Acetivibrionales; Acetivibrionaceae
Description: partial 16S ribosomal RNA
Source: RNAcentral
CACGUAGUUAGCCGUGGCUUAUUCUUCGGGUACCGUCAUUUCUUCGUCCCCGACUAAAGAAGUUUACAAUCCGAAAACCUUCAUCCUUCACGCGGCGUUGCUGCAUCAGGGUUUCCCCCAUUGUGCAAUAUUCCCCACUGCUGCCUCCCGUAGGAGUCUGGGCCGUGUCUCAGUCCCAAUGUGGCCGAUCAACCUCUCAGUUCGGCUACCGAUCGUCGCCUUGGUGGUCCGUUACACCACCAACUAGCUAAUCGGACGCGGGCCCAUCUUUCACCGGAUUGCUCCUUUGACAGUAGAUUGAUGUCAAUCCACUGUGUUAUGCGGUAUUAGCACAAGUUUCCCUGUGUUAUCCCCCUGUGAAAGGCAGGUUGCCCACGCGUUACUCACCCGUCCGCCGCUAAGAUAACAUUGCUGUUAUCUCCGCUCGACUUGCAUGUGUUAGGCACGCCGCCAGCGUUCGUCCUGAGCCAGGAUCAAACUCU